RNAcentral lists this transfer RNA (91 nucleotides) under Caudoviricetes sp. RNAcentral's name for it is "tRNA-Ile". It matches the Rfam family "tRNA". From Rfam's summary of the family: Transfer RNA (tRNA) molecules are approximately 80 nucleotides in length. Their secondary structure includes four short double-helical elements and three loops (D, anti-codon, and T loops). The record is from RNAcentral. Lineage: Duplodnaviria; Heunggongvirae; Uroviricota; Caudoviricetes.
GGGGAGUUAGCUCAGUAGGUGAGAGCCACAGCCUUAUAAGCUGUAAGCCCUAGCAAGGUCAACAACGUGGAUUCGAACUCCACACUCCCUA